This 433-nucleotide ribosomal RNA is filed under the name uncultured bacterium. Its description in RNAcentral is "partial 16S ribosomal RNA". It matches the Rfam family "Bacterial small subunit ribosomal RNA", at positions 29 to 507 of the family's 1533-position model. The record is from RNAcentral.
AACGAACGCUGGCGGCAUGCCUAACACAUGCAAGUCGAACGAGACCUUCGGGUCUAGUGGCGCACGGGUGCGUAACGCGUCGGAACCUGCCCUUAGGGUCGGAAUAACUCCCCGAAAGGGGUGCUAAUACCGGAUAGUGUCUUCGGACCAAAGAUUUAUCGCCUUUGGAUGGGCCCGCGUUGGAUUAGCUAGUUGGUAGGGUAAAAGCCUACCAAGGCGACGAUCCAUAGCUUGUCUGAGAGGAUGAUCAGCCACACUGGGACUGAGACACGGCCCAGACUCCUACGGGAGGCAGCAGUGGGGAAUAGUGGACAAUGGGGGAAAGCCUGAUCCAGCAAGGCCGCGUGAGUGAUGAAGGCCUUAGGGUUGUAAAGCUCUAUUACCCGGGAUGAUAAUGACAGUACCGGGAGAAUAAGCUCCGGCUAACUCCGUG